Molecule: long non-coding RNA, 666 nt
Organism: Budorcas taxicolor (takin)
Lineage: Eukaryota; Metazoa; Chordata; Mammalia; Artiodactyla; Bovidae
Exons: 3
Source: RefSeq, a predicted model, not a curated record
GAUCGCCCAGGCCCCUCUUAAACUGGGUGUCUCCCUGUCUCUCUCCCCUUUCUGCCUCCGCGCGCGACUCGGCUGACAAGAUGCUGACAAGCUUAAGGGCUGGUGCUUGAAAGAAGCUUUUCCAGGAGAAGGUGUAUUUGAACAUGAGAUGAUUGAUAUACAGAAUAGAGCUUUUUGCUAAUUGUCUUUUCAUGGUGGUAGCAGGGGUGAAUUUAAAAAAAAAAAAAACUGCCAAGUAUCUGUAAGAAUAUAUAUCUACCCUGUAGAGAAUUUUCAGCAGAAUUCAAUUCCAUUAUUUAAAACAGUUUUUUAAAAUAAGAUCCAGCCUGAAUCUUGACACAGUAGCUAGACUAGCUAUUCUACAACUAUCUUAAGAGAAUUUGGCUAGCUGCUUUAAUUUACAAAGGUUAUUUUUAAAUCCCAUUCUUUUGACUAUGCUAAACCUCGGGGUUUUGUGCUUGCAGUUUUGUCUAAUCAUUCUGAUGAUUAAAUUUGACCCCUUGUAUAGAGGACAGAUCAGUGGAGUUUGUUGCAUAGCAUUUUGAGGGUUGGGGCUGAGGAACUGUUCUAUACUUUGAUUAUAGUGGUAAUUCCAUUUGUCAGAAAUUUUGAGUGAGUUUUACUGAAUGUAAAUUCAAUUUCAAUAAAUAUGACUUAAAAACUUUC